Molecule: ribosomal RNA, 1369 nt
Filed under: Staphylococcus aureus
Lineage: Bacteria; Bacillati; Bacillota; Bacilli; Caryophanales; Staphylococcaceae
Description: partial 23S ribosomal RNA
Rfam family: Bacterial large subunit ribosomal RNA
Source: RNAcentral
GCAAAUCCGGUACUCGUUAAGGCUGAGCUGUGAUGGGGAGAAGACAUUGAGUCUUCGAGUCGUUGAUUUCACACUGCCGAGAAAAGCCUCUAGAUAGAAAAUAGGUGCCCGUACCGCAAACCGACACAGGUAGUCAAGAUGAGAAUUCUAAGGUGAGCGAGCGAACUCUCGUUAAGGAACUCGGCAAAAUGACCCCGUAACUUCGGGAGAAGGGGUGCUCUUUAGGGUUAACGCCCAGAAGAGCCGCAGUGAAUAGGCCCAAGCGACUGUUUAUCAAAAACACAGGUCUCUGCUAAACCGUAAGGUGAUGUAUAGGGGCUGACGCCUGCCCGGUGCUGGAAGGUUAAGAGGAGUGGUUAGCUUCUGCGAAGCUACGAAUCGAAGCCCCAGUAAACGGCGGCCGUAACUAUAACGGUCCUAAGGUAGCGAAAUUCCUUGUCGGGUAAGUUCCGACCCGCACGAAAGGCGUAACGAUUUGGGCACUGUCUCAACGAGAGACUCGGUGAAAUCAUAGUACCUGUGAAGAUGCAGGUUACCCGCGACAGGACGGAAAGACCCCGUGGAGCUUUACUGUAGCCUGAUAUUGAAAUUCGGCACAGCUUGUACAGGAUAGGUAGGAGCCUUUGAAACGUGAGCGCUAGCUUACGUGGAGGCGCUGGUGGGAUACUACCCUAGCUGUGUUGGCUUUCUAACCCGCACCACUUAUCGUGGUGGGAGACAGUGUCAGGCGGGCAGUUUGACUGGGGCGGUCGCCUCCUAAAAGGUAACGGAGGCGCUCAAAGGUUCCCUCAGAAUGGUUGGAAAUCAUUCAUAGAGUGUAAAGGCAUAAGGGAGCUUGACUGCGAGACCUACAAGUCGAGCAGGGUCGAAAGACGGACUUAGUGAUCCGGUGGUUCCGCAUGGAAGGGCCAUCGCUCAACGGAUAAAAGCUACCCCGGGGAUAACAGGCUUAUCUCCCCCAAGAGUUCACAUCGACGGGGAGGUUUGGCACCUCGAUGUCGGCUCAUCGCAUCCUGGGGCUGUAGUCGGUCCCAAGGGUUGGGCUGUUCGCCCAUUAAAGCGGUACGCGAGCUGGGUUCAGAACGUCGUGAGACAGUUCGGUCCCUAUCCGUCGUGGGCGUAGGAAAUUUGAGAGGAGCUGUCCUUAGUACGAGAGGACCGGGAUGGACAUACCUCUGGUGUACCAGUUGUCGUGCCAACGGCAUAGCUGGGUAGCUAUGUGUGGACGGGAUAAGUGCUGAAAGCAUCUAAGCAUGAAGCCCCCCUCAAGAUGAGAUUUCCCAACUUCGGUUAUAAGAUCCCUCAAAGAUGAUGAGGUUAAUAGGUUCGAGGUGGAAGCAUGGUGACAUGUGGAGCUGACGAAUACUAA